UGGGGAAUUUUGGACAAUGGGCGCAAGCCUGAUCCAGCAAUGCCGCGUGCAGGAUGAAGGCCUUCGGGUUGUAAACUGCUUUUUGUACGGAACGAAAAGCCUCUCUCUAAUACAGGGGGGUGAUGACGGUACCGUAAGAAUAAGCACCGGCUAACUACGUGCCAGCAGCCGCGGUAAUACGUAGGGUGCAAGCGUUAAUCGGAAUUACUGGGCGUAAAGCGUGCGCAGGCGGUUUUGUAAGACAGUGGUGAAAUCCCCGGGCUCAACCUGGGAACUGCCAUUGUGACUGCAAGGCUGGAGUGCGGCAGAGGGGGAUGGAAUUCCGCGUGUAGCAGUGAAAUGCGUAGAUAUGCGGAGGAACACCGAUGGCGAAGGCAAUCCCCUGGGCCUGCACUGACGCUCAUGCACGAAAGCGUGGGGAGCAAACAGGAUUAGAUACCCUGGUAGUCCACGCCCUAAAACGAUGUCAACUGGUUGUUGGGGAUUUAUUUCUUCAGUAACGAAGCUAACGCGUGAAGUUGA
RNAcentral lists this ribosomal RNA (522 nucleotides) under uncultured bacterium. Its description in RNAcentral is "partial 16S ribosomal RNA". It matches the Rfam family "Bacterial small subunit ribosomal RNA", at positions 355 to 868 of the family's 1533-position model. The record is from RNAcentral.